This 428-nucleotide ribosomal RNA is filed under the name uncultured bacterium. Its description in RNAcentral is "bacterial SSU rRNA". It matches the Rfam family "Bacterial small subunit ribosomal RNA", at positions 355 to 775 of the family's 1533-position model. The record is from RNAcentral.
UAGGGAAUUGUUCGCAAUGGGCGCAAGCCUGACGACGCAACGCCGCGUGGAGGAUGAAGGUCUUCGGAUUGUAAACUCCUGUCGUGUGGGACGAACACUUACCGGGCUAAUCACCGGUGAGCUGACGGUACCACGAAAGGAAGCCCCGGCUAACUCUGUGCCAGCAGCCGCGGUAAUACAGAGGGGGCGAGCGUUGUUCGGAAUUACUGGGCGUAAAGGGCGCGUAGGCGGCCAACUAAGUCAGACGUGAAAUCCCUCGGCUCAACCGGGGAACUGCGUCUGAUACUGGAUGGCUUGAAUUCGGGAGAGGGAUGCGGAAUUCCAGGUGUAGCGGUGAAAUGCGUAGAUAUCUGGAGGAACACCGGUGGCGAAGGCGGCAUCCUGGACCGAGAUUGACGCUGAUGCGCGAAAGCCAGGGGAGCAAACGG